UACGGAGGUGGCAAGCGUUAUCCGGAAUUACUGGGUUUAAAGGGUGCGUAGGCGGCUUGAUAAGUCAGGGGUGAAAGCCCGCAGCUUAACUGCGGAACUGCCUUUGAUACUGUCGAGCUUGAAAGAGGUUGAGGUCAGCGGAACGUGACAUGUAGCGGUGAAAUGCAUAGAUAUGUCACAGAACACCGAUUGCGAAGGCAGCUGGCUGGACCUACUUUGACGCUGAGGCACGAAAGCGUGGGGAGCGAACAGG
Molecule: ribosomal RNA, 253 nt
Filed under: uncultured bacterium
Lineage: Bacteria
Description: partial 16S ribosomal RNA
Rfam family: Bacterial small subunit ribosomal RNA
Source: RNAcentral